Molecule: ribosomal RNA, 505 nt
Filed under: uncultured bacterium
Lineage: Bacteria
Description: partial 16S ribosomal RNA
Rfam family: Bacterial small subunit ribosomal RNA
Source: RNAcentral
GGCGAACGCUGGCGGCGUGCCUAAUACAUGCAAGUAGAACGCACAGUUUAUACCGUAGCUUGCUACACCAUAGACUGUGAGUUGCGAACGGGUGAGUAACGCGUAGGUAACCUGCCUGGUAGCGGGGGAUAACUAUUGGAAACGAUAGCUAAUACCGCAUAAUAUUAAUUAUUGCAUGAUAAUUAAUUGAAAGGUGCAAUUGCACCACUACCAGAUGGACCUGCGUUGUAUUAGCUAGUAGGUGAGGUAACGGCUCACCUAGGCGACGAUACAUAGCCGACCUGAGAGGGUGAUCGGCCACACUGGGACUGAGACACGGCCCAGACUCCUACGGGAGGCAGCAGUAGGGAAUCUUCGGCAAUGGACGAAAGUCUGACCGAGCAACGCCGCGUGAGUGGAGAAGGUUUUCGGAUCGUAAAGCUCUGUUGUAAGAGAAGAACGGGUGUGAGAGUGGAAAGUUCACACUGUGACGGUAUCUGACCAGAAAGGGACGGCUAACUACGUG